Molecule: ribosomal RNA, 253 nt
Filed under: uncultured bacterium
Lineage: Bacteria
Description: partial 16S ribosomal RNA
Rfam family: Bacterial small subunit ribosomal RNA
Source: RNAcentral
UACGUAGGGGGCUAGCGUUGUCCGGAAUCAUUGGGCGUAAAGCGCGUGUAGGCGGUUCGGUAAGUCCGCUGUGAAAGUCGGGGGCUCAACCCUCGAAUGCCGGUGGAUACUGUCGGGCUAGAGUGCGGAAGAGGCGAGUGGAAUUCCUGGUGUAGCGGUGAAAUGCGCAGAUAUCAGGAGGAACACCAAUUGCGAAAGCAGCUCGCUGGGACGCUACUGACGCUGAGACGCGAAAGCGUGGGGAGCAAACAGG